CAGGGAAUCUUGCACAAUGGGCGAAAGCCUGAUGCAGCGACGCCGCGUGGGGGAUGAAGGCCUUAGGGUCGUAAACCCCUUUCAGCAGGGACGAAAAUGACGGUACCUGCAGAAGAAGCCCCGGCCAACUACGUGCCAGCAGCCGCGGUAAGACGUAGGGGGCGAGCGUUGUCCGGAUUUAUUGGGCGUAAAGAGCUCGUAGGCGGUUGCGUAAGUCGGAUGUGAAAACUCAGGGCUCAACCCUGAGACGCCAUCCGAUACUGCGCUGACUUGAAUCCAGUAGGGGAGUGUGGAAUUCCUGGUGUAGCGGUGAAAUGCGCAGAUAUCAGGAGGAACACCCAUGGCGAAGGCAGCACUCUGGGCUGGUAUUGACGCUGAGGAGCGAAAGCAUGGUAGCGAACAGGAUUAGAUACCCCAGUAGUCCCUGAG
RNAcentral lists this ribosomal RNA (429 nucleotides) under uncultured bacterium. RNAcentral describes it as "bacterial SSU rRNA". It matches the Rfam family "Bacterial small subunit ribosomal RNA", at positions 355 to 801 of the family's 1533-position model. The record is from RNAcentral.